Long non-coding RNA from Artibeus jamaicensis (Jamaican fruit-eating bat), 541 nucleotides. RefSeq lists it as uncharacterized. The record is from RefSeq and is a predicted model, not a curated record. Lineage: Eukaryota; Metazoa; Chordata; Mammalia; Chiroptera; Phyllostomidae. The transcript is spliced from 3 exons.
UGUAUACAAUUAUAACACAUGCAGUUAUGUUCAGACAUAAUACUUGAUAAUAAUGGUGACCUAAGUGUACAAUGGUGUGCAGCAAUGUCCUAGGCCUUCAUGUGGACUCACCACUCACUGACUCCCGGAGCCACUUCUGGUCCUGCAAUCUUCAUUCAUAUAAUCACCAAAGAGCAGUUUUUGGCUGAUGGACACUGAAGUCAGAAAGAUCAAUAACAAUGAAGAACUUGAGUCAAGUUCCUGGUGCCUUUCCUGCCAUCACUUCUAAAUUAGCCUUUUUUUUUUAUGCAUCCAGGUAACGCAUGGGCUUUUAAUCCAAGAUUAAAAACAUCUGUGAGAGGAAUGGUCAAACAGUCUUGGAACGCUUAGUCGAAUUCACGGGAACUCCAUCUGGGACUGGUGAUAGUCCUUUCAUAUCUUUCAUUGUUCCUAGCACCUCCACAGAUCAAAGUUCUCUCCAUAAUCCUUUCUUUCCACCAUGGCAUAUUUACCUAUUUUAUAUCAAAAUAUAUAAUCUUUACCAUCUGGUUUCAUAGGAGAA